RNAcentral lists this unclassified non-coding RNA (322 nucleotides) under uncultured fungus. Its description in RNAcentral is "partial contains 5.8S ribosomal RNA and internal transcribed spacer 2". The stretch from base 1 to 133 matches the Rfam family "5.8S ribosomal RNA", at positions 22 to 154 of the family's 154-position model. Lineage: Eukaryota; Fungi. The record is from RNAcentral.
UGGUUCUGGCAUCGAUGAAGAACGCAGCGAAAUGCGAUAAGUAGUGUGAAUUGCAGAAUUUAGUGAAUCAUCGAAUCUUUGAACGCACAUUGCGCCCUUUGGUAUUCCUUAGGGCAUGCCUGUUCGAGCGUCAUUUACCGAAAUCAAGCUACGCUUGGUGAUGGGUGUUUGUCCCCCCUCGUGUGUGGACUCGCCUUAAAAUCAUUGGCGGCCUGUGUGUCGGCUUCUAGCGCAGCACAUUUGCGCUUCUCGUCGUGCACGCUGGCGUCCAGAAAGCCUCUCCAUCUUGGUUGACCUCGGAUCAGGUAGGGAUACCCGCUGA